CAGUCGCCGCGGUAAUACGAGGGGGGCAAGCGUUGUUCGGAAUUAUUGGGCGUAAAGGGUGCGUAGGCGGUUUGAUAAGUCAUCUGUGAAAUCUCUGGGCUCAACCCAGAGUCUGCAGGCGAAACUGUCGGGCUUGAGUAUGGGAGAGGUGAGUGGAAUUUCCGGUGUAGCGGUGAAAUGCGUAGAUAUCGGAAGGAACGCCUGUGGCGAAAGCGGCUCACUGGACCAUAACUGACGCUGAUGCACGAAAGCUAGGGGAGCAAACAGGAUUAGAUACCCGAGUAGUCCCUGUCUCUUAUAC
Molecule: ribosomal RNA, 301 nt
Filed under: uncultured bacterium
Lineage: Bacteria
Description: partial 16S ribosomal RNA
Rfam family: Bacterial small subunit ribosomal RNA
Source: RNAcentral